RNAcentral lists this small RNA (28 nucleotides) under Bombyx mori (domestic silkworm). Its description in RNAcentral is "ovarian small RNA-9033". Lineage: Eukaryota; Metazoa; Arthropoda; Insecta; Lepidoptera; Bombycidae. The record is from RNAcentral.
UGUCGUCCGCAUAACACGUCAAGUUGGC